This 497-nucleotide ribosomal RNA is filed under the name uncultured bacterium. Its description in RNAcentral is "partial 16S ribosomal RNA". It matches the Rfam family "Bacterial small subunit ribosomal RNA", at positions 28 to 507 of the family's 1533-position model. The record is from RNAcentral.
GAUGAACGCUGGCGGCGUGCCUAAUACAUGCAAGUCGAGCGAACAGACGAGGAGCUUGCUCCUCUGACGUUAGCGGCGGACGGGUGAGUAACACGUGGAUAACCUACCUAUAAGACUGGGAUAACUUCGGGAAACCGGAUCUAAUACCGGAUAAUAUAUUGAACCGCAUGGUUCAAUAGUGAAAGACGGUUUUGCUGUCACUUAUAGAUGUAUCCGCGCCGCAUUAGCUAGUUGGUAAGGUAACGGCUUACCAAGGCAACGAUGCGUAGCCGACCUGAGAGGGUGAUCGGCCACACUGGAACUGAGACACGGUCCAGACUCCUACGGGAGGCAGCAGUAGGGAAUCUUCCGCAAUGGGCGAAAGCUUGACGGAGCAACGCCGCGUGAGUGAUGAAGGUCUUCGGAUCGUAAAACUCUGUUAUUAGGGAAGAACAAAUGUGUAAGUAACUAUGCACGUCUUGACGGUACCUAAUCAGAAAGCAACGGCUAACUACGUG